UGAGUGCAGAAGAGGAGAGUGGAAUUCCAUGUGUAGCGGUGAAAUGCGUAGAUAUAUGGAGGAACACCAGUGGCGAAGGCGGCUCUCUGGUCUGUAACUGACGCUGAGGCUCGAAAGCGUGGGGAGCGAACAGGAUUAGAUACCCUGGUAGUCCACGCCGUAAACGAUGAGUGCUAAGUGUUGGAGGGUUUCCGCCCUUCAGUGCUGCAGCAAACGCAUUAAGCACUCCGCCUGGGGAGUACGACCGCAAGGUUGAAACUCAAAGGAAUUGACGGGGGCCCGCACAAGCGGUGGAGCAUGCGGUUUAAUUCGAAGCAACGCGAAGAACCUUACCAGGUCUUGACAUCCUUUGACCACUCUAGAGAUAGAGCUUCCCCUUCGGGGGCAAAGUGACAGGUGGUGCAUGGUUGUCGUCAGCUCGUGUCGUGAGAUGUUGGGUUAAGUCCCGCAACGAGCGCAACCCUUAUUGUUAGUUGCCAUCAUUUAGUUGGGCACUCUAGCGAGACUGCCGGUGACAAACCGGAGGAAGGUGGGGAUGACGUCAAAUCAUCAUGCCCCUUAUGACCUGGGCUACACACGUGCUACAAUGGGAAGUACAACGAGUUGCGAAGUCGCGAGGCUAAGCUAAUCUCUUAAAGCUUCUCUCAGUUCGGAUUGUAGGCUGCAACUCGCCUACAUGAAGCCGGAAUCGCUAGUAAUCGCGGAUCAGCACGCCGCGGUGAAUACGUUCCCGGGCCUUGUACACAC
Molecule: ribosomal RNA, 747 nt
Filed under: uncultured bacterium
Lineage: Bacteria
Description: bacterial SSU rRNA
Rfam family: Bacterial small subunit ribosomal RNA
Source: RNAcentral